CCGCGGUUCAGCUUAGCUGCUGGAAGCCGCUUCGGAGGGGCCGGGCUGCCGGAGCACUUGGCGGGCGCUCCCCGCACCCCCGCGGCUCCCGCCGGGAUCGGCUCCAGCCCCNNGCGCGGUGACGCGGCCCGGGGUCAGGGCUGAGGCGCGGCGGCACCGUGAGGCGCUGUCAGAGCCGCGCUGAGAGGGUUCGCCCAGCUCCGCACCGGGAUCCGCCGCCGCUGCCAUGGAGCCUCAUCGCUGGCUGCCGCUGGAGGCCAACCCCGACGUGAGUGCCCGGCCUGGGCGGUGGGGCGCUGCUGUGGGGGGCUGCCCGCCCGACAGGCUGCUUGCGGUGGGGUCACGAAUCAGGUAAGAAGGUUUUAUUUGAGGUAACCUUUAGUCUUUGCAGCUUUGGGCCCGUCUCCUCUCGUUUUCUUUUAGUAAAGGCUCCUUGUCCAAGGAGAGUGCCCCCUUUCUUCCCCACGCUUGUCUGCGCUCAGUCUUCUCAUGUAUCGUACGUGAACCUCACUCGUAAAGAUACCAUAUGAAGGAAAAACGAGCAGUAAAAAGAGAAUAGCUGUGGUCUGGCUAUUACUGUAAUGAAAUCUCUGAUGUUUUUCAAGGUGGGUUUUAAUUCAUUAAUUAGCGAUUAAAACAUUAAUUUGUAUAUAACGUGUGCCAGGUGUGGACCUGUUCUUGAUGGCUUUGGGCACAUGUAUGGAUCUGUUUUCAUCACUGUGUUGUAGUCUCAUUCUUCUUUGGCUGACCAUAAAAAAUAAUUUAAUUUUACCAUAUUAGCACGUUGGUGCUUAUUCAUGACAAUACGUGCAUGAUUGGUUGCUGGUUUUGUUAGCGUGGUAGAACCCACGCUAGAGAAAGGAAGCUUGUUCUAGUACACAAAACAAUGCUCCCACUAAAUAAGCUCUGGCUGAAAGGAAAUCACACAUACUCUAACCCCACAUCAUGUUCUCAGUGACAGUUUUGAGCACAGCGUUAAUGGUCAGUUGUUGAUUUCAGCAGGCCUGUUGAUAAUGUUAACGAUUGUGCUUAAGCCAAAGGCCUCUGAAACUUCCAGCAGCAAAAUUGUAUUCUUAAAACUAUAGUGUUGAAAUAUUUUGGAAACUGGGAAUUUCUGUGUAUGAAGAAUGUUUGGGUUUUUUUUGUUGUUGUGGUUACUGUAAUAUGCAAACAACAUCUGCAGGAGAGUGAAGGGUUUGUUUGCUGGGUCAUUUUGUGCUUUAUAGUUUUCUAGGGCAAAUAAUUUUACAAUUCUUACAGCAUUGCUGCUGUGGAGUGAUUUUAGAAGUCUAAAAUCCCAGUCUCCUGAGUUAAAAUUGAUAACCUUUCCUGGGAGCCCAUCUUGAACAUGUGCUAUAGUUUCUUUCUUUUUUUUUUUUUUUUAAAUUUUGAAAUCCAGAGACUAAAUUCCAGUUUGGAAGAAAAUAAGUGAAUAAAUAGCUAGUAAAAAUUUCCA
RNAcentral lists this long non-coding RNA (1456 nucleotides) under Cyanistes caeruleus (blue tit). Its description in RNAcentral is "lncRNA (ENSCCEG00000000938.1)". Lineage: Eukaryota; Metazoa; Chordata; Aves; Passeriformes; Paridae. The record is from RNAcentral.